Long non-coding RNA from Myxocyprinus asiaticus (Chinese sucker), 933 nucleotides. RefSeq lists it as uncharacterized. The transcript has 3 exons. The record is from RefSeq and is a predicted model, not a curated record. NCBI's taxonomy places the organism in Eukaryota, Metazoa, Chordata, Actinopteri, Cypriniformes, Catostomidae.
UGCUUGCUUGAGCUCUAAUAAAAGCCACUCUUUGGAGCCCUUCAUCCUCGGCCUCUUAUGUCUUCUUCUGGUUUAAGAGAAACAUCACUCUGCUCCAACAAAGCUCUCCAGAUGAUUCUGAACAGUGAGGAAGAAUUCUAAUUUUCCUCAGAAAAAGAUUGCGACUCUGAUGAGAAAUGCUUGCAUUUUAAAUAUUGACUUGAUCCAGCAUAGGAUACAAUUUCUGAUGAACAUAUCCAUUGAAGCAAAGAAUUGUGGGCUGUGAAUGCCCACAAAGGAUACACCUCAUGCAUCCUCCGAAUUCCCGUGAAAGAAGGUCGCAUUCGAAGGCUGCAUUCGAAGUGUCCUACUCGCUUUUCUGAAACGAGACAGCCUCGAUGAUGUAUGUGGCUGACAAAUGCGUAGGAUGCAGCCUUCCAAAUGAGACACAGCCAUGUUCAGCGUCUUAAAGUUGAAAUGUGUUGAUGAGACCUACGUGCAAUGCUGCGGCUUAUUUUGAUCACCACUGGCAGCCAUGUACAAGAUGUUCCUGAGUGUAAUUGGAUUGUGUUUACACUAUUGUAUACAGCUGGACCUUAUGAAUGGGACAUGCAAGGCUUCCCAGUUCUGGAUCAAUAAAAUGACAGAUUCAUGGAAAGGAACAGAUGCAAUUAACCAAUCAGCAGCACUGCUUGUGGACUGUGGGUACAGAUGUCAACAGAGAGAUCCAGAGCAGUAAAACUUCCCAUAAAUGCUACUUAGAUUAAUUCCCAGCCUGUCAAGCUUUAGCAGAAAAAAAGGAAGUUAUGGCACACAGCUUUAUUUUCACAGGCUGCAAGUCUUUGCAAAACAAUGUCCCAACAUACUACGUCAAUGGUGAAAUCUGAAACGCAAGUUAUGCAUCCCACUUUGGCUGUUCAACUUAAAAAAAAAAUAAAAAAAUUAAAAAAAUCA